ACCGAAUAGAUACCCCGGUAGUCCACGCCCUAAACUAUGCGAACUGGAUGUUGGGUACAUUACGGUACUCAGUGUCGAAAGCUAAACGCGUUAAGUUCGCCGCCUGGGGAGUACGGUCGCAAGACUGAAACUCAAAGGAAUUGACGGGGGCCCGCACAAGCGGUGGAGUAUGUGGUUUAAUUCGAUGCAACGCGAAGAACCUUACCUGGCCUUGACAUCUGUCGAAUCCUGCAGAGAUGCGGGAGUGCCGCAAGGAACGACAAGACAGGUGCUGCAUGGCUGUCGUCAGCUCGUGUCGUGAGAUGUUGGGUUAAGUCCCGCAACGAGCGCAACCCUUGUCCCUAGUUGCCAGCACAUCAUGGUGGGAACUCUAGGGAGACUGCCGGUGACAAACCGGAGGAAGGUGGGGAUGACGUCAAGUCCUCAUGGCCCUUACGG
RNAcentral lists this ribosomal RNA (438 nucleotides) under uncultured bacterium. Its description in RNAcentral is "bacterial SSU rRNA". It matches the Rfam family "Bacterial small subunit ribosomal RNA", at positions 772 to 1207 of the family's 1533-position model. The record is from RNAcentral.